Molecule: long non-coding RNA, 806 nt
Organism: Balaenoptera acutorostrata (minke whale)
Lineage: Eukaryota; Metazoa; Chordata; Mammalia; Artiodactyla; Balaenopteridae
Exons: 3
Source: RefSeq, a predicted model, not a curated record
CCUGCCCGCCUGCCCCCGCGGCCCCGCGCCCGUGACUCACCUCGGCGCCGGGGCAGGCUGGUCCGGGCGGGCGAGGCGCAGGGCUCUCCCACACGUCGCGCCGCCAAUGGCAAGUUGGAGGGCGAGAUGCAAAUACCAGAUGAGGCUGCCGAGACCUAGGAAAUUAGCUGCUCUGGGUCAUCCAGGAGUGAGUGGCAAAGCUGAGACGCAAAUCCCAAAGAGCGCUUUUUCCGCUGUGCUCCCCAGCUUCGGGAGGAAGAAACACGGGCAGGGAGCACUUACUGGAACCUGAAGAAGAAACACAGAGAUGAGAGAAGUUACAAGCAGAGAAUGGAGGAAGAAACACGAUUUGGUCAGUGGAAGAAAAGCCUGGACUAGAUGGAAGCAGAACAGUAAAGCCAUCUGAGGAGUGACGAAGUUCCGAUGUGAACUCACACAUCAUACUCCCAGCACUUCUGUUGCACUGAUGGUUCCUGUUGACCCGUCUGUGUCCGCCACUAGGUUCUAAAGCCAUUGAGGGCAGGGACUGUAUGUUACUCAUCUUCUUAUCUCUGGGGCCUAUUGGCCCACAGCAUGCAGCAAGUUCCGCAGUAUGUUUGCUAGCUGACCAAUAAAUCCAUUUACGAACGUAUGUAUGUAUUCAUAAAUUCAACACCCAUGUUGGGUGUUCCUCCAGAAGCAUCUCUGUGUUGUGCUGCAAAUGCCAAGAGAGCACAGGCGGGAACCUGCUUGGGAAGCCAGACACCUCUGUCCAGGCACCAGAUGCGACUCCUGGCCUUCUCCAACUGAGACACAGACCUUGGAGG